CUGCAGCUCAAGUGGUGAUCAUUAUUAUUGGGCCUAAAACGUCCGUAGCCGGUUUAGUAAAUGCCUGGGUAAAUCGUGUAGCUUAACUAUACGACUUCCGGGUAGACUGCUAAACUUGAGACCGGGAGAGGCUAGAGGUACUCCUGGGGUAGAGGUGAAAUUCUGUAAUCCUAGGGGGACCACCAGUGGCGAAGGCGUCUAGCUAGAACGGGUCUGACGGUGAGGGACGAAGCCCUGGGGCGCAAACCGGAUUAGAUACCCGAGUAGUCC
This 270-nucleotide ribosomal RNA is filed under the name uncultured archaeon. RNAcentral describes it as "partial 16S ribosomal RNA". It matches the Rfam family "Archaeal small subunit ribosomal RNA", at positions 477 to 747 of the family's 1478-position model. The record is from RNAcentral.